UACGUAGGGGGCUAGCGUUGUCCGGAAUCAUUGGGCGUAAAGCGCGUGUAGGCGGUCCGGUAAGUCCGCUGUGAAAGUCGAGGGCUCAACCCUCGAAUGCCGGUGGAUACUGUCGGGCUUGAGUACGGGAGAGGCGAGUGGAAUUCCUGGUGUAGCGGUGAAAUGCGCAGAUAUCAGGAGGAACACCGAUGGCGAAGGCAGCUCGCUGGAACGUUACUGACGCUGAGACGCGAAAGCGUGGGGAGCAAACAGG
This 253-nucleotide ribosomal RNA is filed under the name uncultured bacterium. RNAcentral describes it as "partial 16S ribosomal RNA". It matches the Rfam family "Bacterial small subunit ribosomal RNA", at positions 524 to 776 of the family's 1533-position model. The record is from RNAcentral.